CUUCAGUGGAUGUUUAACUCUGUUGGGCUCUAUUCCUCUGGACUGGAUAUUCUUUACCAGUCUCAGGUUUCUAUCAUCAGCUCGGUUUCAUUCUCCUGCCUGAUCAGUUACCAGAUCAAGAGACCAAUAUAUCCAAGAAGAGUCUCCUUUAGUCCUGUGCAGCAUCUUCUUAGCCGUCACUUUACACGUUCUCUUCCAUUUUUAGCAGUAAUUCUCUAUUCUAAUAUUCUGUACUAGAAUUCUUGAAAUUGGUUUUCACUACCUCUCGUCUGACAUGAAGCAACUCUGUGUUCUGCUCAUU
Pelobates cultripes (western spadefoot toad) is the source of this 301-nucleotide non-coding RNA. NCBI's taxonomy places the organism in Eukaryota, Metazoa, Chordata, Amphibia, Anura, Pelobatidae. The record is from the annotation of a GenBank genome assembly.